CUAAGUUUGAUGGCGACCGGCGCACGGGUGAGUAACACGUAUCCAACCUGCCGAUGACUCGGGGAUAGCCUUUCGAAAGAAAGAUUAAUACCCGAUGGCAUAGUUCUUCCGCAUGGUGGAACUAUUAAAGAAUUUCGGUCAUCGAUGGGGAUGCGUUCCAUUAGGUUGUUGGCGGGGUAACGGCCCACCAAGCCUUCGAUGAAUAGGGGUUCUGAGAGGAAGGUCCCCCACAUUGGAACUGAGACACGGUCCAAACUCCUACGGGAGGCAGCAUG
RNAcentral lists this ribosomal RNA (275 nucleotides) under uncultured bacterium. RNAcentral's name for it is "partial 16S ribosomal RNA". It matches the Rfam family "Bacterial small subunit ribosomal RNA", at positions 79 to 353 of the family's 1533-position model. The record is from RNAcentral.